This 253-nucleotide ribosomal RNA is filed under the name uncultured bacterium. Its description in RNAcentral is "partial 16S ribosomal RNA". It matches the Rfam family "Bacterial small subunit ribosomal RNA", at positions 524 to 776 of the family's 1533-position model. The record is from RNAcentral.
UACGUAGGCAGCAAGCGUUGUUCGGAGCUACUGGGCGUAAAGGGUGUGUAGGCGGUUCUUUAAGUUUGGGGUGAAAUCUCCCGGCUCAACUGGGAGGGUGCGCCGAAUACUGAGGGACUAGAGUACGGGAGAGGAAAGUGGAAUUCCUGGUGUAGCGGUGAAAUGCGUAGAUAUCAGGAGGAACACCGGUGGUGUAGACGGCUUUCUGGACCGUAACUGACGCUGAGACACGAAAGCGUGGGUAGCAAACAGG